CCUUAAUAGGCCUUGAUACACACAAAGGAAAUAAGGAAGACCGAAGGAAACAUGAGGAAAGAGAAAGGAAAGAAUUCAGUUCAUGGGAUGAUGGCAAAGACAAAACAGAAUGGAGAGGAUUAUCUACAUGGACAGAAGGAACUUAUGAUGGUUCGACGCGGCCAUGGCACAAGUGGGACUCAAACUCACGAUCUCCUAGUUACGAAACAAACUUUCUACCAUCGAGCUACUGCCACUGGUGUGUAGAUAUUGGCGAUGAGGAACUCCAGCAUCUUUUUAAAAUGAACUUAGGAGCGUUUAUGUUUAAAAUCAGAGAUGUUUAGAAAAGUAAUUUUUGAAUGACGGACUGAUCACAAAAUAUGAAGAUUUACGUAUUCCACUUUUAUUGAAGAAAGAGCAACUGUC
This is a long non-coding RNA of Ostrea edulis (European flat oyster), 405 nucleotides long. RefSeq lists it as uncharacterized. The transcript has 2 exons. Lineage: Eukaryota; Metazoa; Mollusca; Bivalvia; Ostreida; Ostreidae. The record is from RefSeq and is a predicted model, not a curated record.